UUUUUAAUCUUUUCUUUUAAAAAGCAUUCCAUGUGUACUUUACAAGUGGCCUGUCCUGUCCAAUCUCAGGUUCCUGUCCUGUCCAAUCUCAGGUUCCUGUCCUGUCCAAUCUCAGGUUCCUGUCCUGUCCAAUCUCAGGUUCCUGUCCUGUCCUGUCCAAUCUCAGGUUUCUGUCCUGUCCAAUCUCAGAUUCCUGUCCUGUCCAAUCUCAGGUUCCUGUCCUGUCCAAUCUCAGGUUUCUGUCCUGUCCAACCUCAGGUUUCUGUCCUGUCCAACCUCAGGUUCCUGUCCUGUCCAACCUCAGGUUCCUGUCCUGUCCAACCUCAGGUUCCUGUCCUGUCCAACCUCAGGUUUGUGUCCUGUCCAAUCUCAGGUUCGUGUCCUGUCCAAUCUCAGGUUCGUGUCCUGUCCAACUUCAGGUUCGUGUCCUGUACAAUCUCAGGUUCGUGUCCUGUCCAACCUCAGGUUCGUGUCCUGUCCCAUCUCAGGUUCGUGUCCUGUCCCACCUCAGGUUCGUGUCCUGUCCAACCUCAGGUUCGUGUCCUGUCCAACCUCAGGUUCGUGUCCUGUCCAACCUCAGGUUUGUGUCCUGUCCAACCUCAGGUUCGUGUCCUGUCCAACCUCAGGUUCGUGUCCUGUCCAACCUCAGGUUUGUGUCCUGUCCAACCUCAGGUUCCUGUCCUGUCCAACCUCAGGUUCGUGUCCUGUCCAACCUCAGGUUUGUGUCCUGUCCAACCUCAGGUUUGUGUCCUGUCCAAUCUCAGGUUUGUGUUCUGUCCAAUCUCAGGUUCGUGUCCUGUCCAACCUCAGGUUCGUGUCUUCCUUGUCCUCAUCCCGUCCCUUCUUCUUUCCCACCUCAGGAGUGUUACCAGCCAGGUCCCCCGUGAUACAACUCAGCAUUCAACGUCCAUCCAUGUUUGAGGACGUCGGUAGAUGACAUGGAAACCGGCCACAGUGAGCACUGUUACCUUCAAGUAGGUUUUGGUUUUAUUUGGGCAUUGUGGGAAUGGAGGAUGGGGGAUGGGAGUAAGCAUCUGCCUCUUAUUUCAAAAGUUGCAAUUUCAAAUCCAGAAAUAUACUUUUUUUGUUGAGAUUUUUGUUGUAAGCCUAUCCCAAACCUUAACCCUUCGAAGUUAAACACCUAACCGUAAGAUUUUUGAGU
RNAcentral lists this long non-coding RNA (1162 nucleotides) under Oncorhynchus kisutch (coho salmon). RNAcentral describes it as "lncRNA (ENSOKIG00005036419.1)". The record is from RNAcentral. Lineage: Eukaryota; Metazoa; Chordata; Actinopteri; Salmoniformes; Salmonidae.